UACGUAGGUGGCAAGCGUUGUCCGGAUUUACUGGGCGUAAAGAGCGCGCAGGCGGUCGUCCAAGUCGCGUGUGAAAGCCCCUGGCUCAACUGGGGAGGGUCACGCGAUACUGAUCGACUCGAAGGCAGGAGAGGGUAGUGGAAUUCCCGGUGUAGUGGUGAAAUGCGUAGAUAUCGGGAGGAACACCAGUGGCGAAGGCGACUACCUGGCCUGUUCUUGACGCUGAGGCGCGAAAGCUAGGGGAGCAAACGGG
This 253-nucleotide ribosomal RNA is filed under the name uncultured bacterium. RNAcentral's name for it is "partial 16S ribosomal RNA". It matches the Rfam family "Bacterial small subunit ribosomal RNA", at positions 524 to 776 of the family's 1533-position model. The record is from RNAcentral.